GAUGAACGCUGGCGGCGUGCCUAAUACAUGCAAGUCGAGCGAACGGACGAGAAGCUUGCUUCUCUGAUGUUAGCGGCGGACGGGUGAGUAACACGUGGAUAACCUACCUAUAAGACUUGGAUAACUUCGGGAAACCGGAGCUAAUACCGGAUAAUAUUUUGAACCGCAUGGUUCAAAAGUGAAAGACGGUCUUGCUGUCACUUAUAGAUGGAUCCGCGCUGCAUUAGCUAGUUGGUAAGGUAACGGCUUACCAAGGCAACGAUGCAUAGCCGACCUGAGAGGGUGAUCGGCCACACUGGAACUGAGACACGGUCCAGACUCCUACGGGAGGCAGCAGUAGGGAAUCUUCCGCAAAGGGCGAAAGCCUGACGGAGCCACGCCGCGUGAGUGAUGAAGGUCUUCGGAUCGUAAAACUCUGUUAUUAGGGAAGAACAUAUGUGUAAGUAACUGUGCACAUCUUGACGGUACCUAAUCAGAAAGCCACGGCUAACUACGUG
This 497-nucleotide ribosomal RNA is filed under the name uncultured bacterium. Its description in RNAcentral is "partial 16S ribosomal RNA". It matches the Rfam family "Bacterial small subunit ribosomal RNA", at positions 28 to 507 of the family's 1533-position model. The record is from RNAcentral.